GUUGGUGGAGUGAUUUGUCUGGUUAAUUCCGUUAACGAACGAGACCUCAGCCUGCUAAAUAGUUACGUCAAGGUUUACUUGGCGGCGAACUUCUUAGAGGGACUAUUGACAUGAAGUCAAUGGAAGUUUGAGGCAAUAACAGGU
This 144-nucleotide ribosomal RNA is filed under the name uncultured eukaryote. RNAcentral's name for it is "partial small subunit ribosomal RNA". It matches the Rfam family "Eukaryotic small subunit ribosomal RNA", at positions 1297 to 1461 of the family's 1831-position model. The record is from RNAcentral.